Molecule: ribosomal RNA, 251 nt
Filed under: uncultured bacterium
Lineage: Bacteria
Description: partial 16S ribosomal RNA
Rfam family: Bacterial small subunit ribosomal RNA
Source: RNAcentral
GCAAGUCGAACGGCAACAUGAGAGCUUGCUCUUGAUGACGCGUGGCGCACGGGUGCGUAACGCGUAUACAAUCUACCUUUUACUGGGAGAUAGCCUUUAGAAAUGAAGAUUAAUACCCCAUAGUAUAAUGAUAUGGCAUCAUAUUAAUAUUAAAGUUUCGGCGGUAAAAGAUGAGUAUGCGUUCUAUUAGCUAGUUGGUGUGGUAACGGCACACCAUGGCAACGAUGGAUAGGGGCCCUGAGAGGAGGAUC